Molecule: small nucleolar RNA, 136 nt
Organism: Sorex araneus (European shrew)
Lineage: Eukaryota; Metazoa; Chordata; Mammalia; Eulipotyphla; Soricidae
Source: Ensembl
UUUCUCAUCUGACUGCCACAUUUUUCUCCUUCUGAUCAAUUUUAGUGGCUCUGCUUGUGGGACAGAGUGAAAUUGUCAUGCUCUGAAAAGGGAGGAUUUUUCUGUCCUCCUGUAUGACAUAGCUGAACAAUAAAGG